GGCCUGCAGACUCAGCACUCAGGAAAGGCCUGCCCUCUCCUUGGCUCCCCUGUGUCACCAUCCUUCAAACUUGGGUUUCCUGAGAAGUUUCUGGAACAAACCCAGACUGCCGUGGUUCUGGCAGGUCAGUGCUGGGGGCCCGGGGCUGAGAAAGGGAAUGUCUACUGUGAGCCACGUGGAAGAGGGUAAACCAAGGCACUGAGGGCAAGGAUGCAGCAGCAGAGCAUGGGUGAAGCUCUCAGGCCAGCCCAGUGCCUGGCAUUUUACAGGAGAAGAAACAGGCUCAGGGAAGGCGAGCAAGGUGCCCAGGAUUGCACAGCUGGCAGAGUUUCCCCUAUUAUAAACAUGCUGCACUCGUGUGACACAUCUGUCCACCAUUGAUAGACCCACAGGGACGUGCCAUCAUCACCCGGAGUCCACAGCUCAGCCGGUGUGUGCCUGCUGCGGGUUUGGCACUGCAUGGAAAAUGGAUUUUUUUUAACACAUCGAGGCAAAACGUGAAAAAUGGAUUUUGAAGAAGACUUUUCCCAGCGGACAGUGGUUCCCCUGAUGAAUUUGAACGUGAGCACCUGCUGUGAGCGGGAGCGGGGGCCUCAGCCUGGGGUCCCUCCUGGAGGGGCCCUUGCUGCCCAGCCCCGCAGCAGUGCGGGCAUCAGAUGAAGCAGCGGCAUUGCCCUGCGUGUGGUCAGCGGCCAAGCUAUGCUCAUUGUGAGCCCCAUGCCCGGACGGCGCUGCCCCCACCACAGCGACCGGCCCAGUACAGGGUGGAUGACAGGAACCCUUCCUCGGGACUCUUCCAGCCGGGCCCAGGCGGAGACGUCAUUAGGAGGGUCUCUCUUUUCCUCCUGGGUUCCAAAGCCAUACGGGAAAACCCAGUAGACUCCACAAUUCAUGAAAACUGACAGGAGAGGCCAGACCAAGAUCAACACAAAAUUCAAAACGAUUUCUCCACACUGGCCAUAAAUAACCAGAAAAUAGAAAAUGAACACCAUGCACGAUAACAAGAUAAACCAUUCGUUAUGUAAGAUGAAGGGCGAAUAUGAAGUCCACACAAAGAAAGUCCACCCUUGGCCUCCCCCUCGGCUCCCUCACCCCGUGCUGUGAGACCACAUAUCACUCAGGGCUGCGCUAGGGCCAGGGGGCUGGGCAGGGUCUCCCUGUCUCUCUGUCUCUGCCUCUGUCUCUCCCUGUCUCUCUGUCUCUCCCUCUGUCUCCCUCUCUCUGUCUCUUUCUGUCUCUGUCUCUUUCUGUCUCUGUCUCUCUCUGCCUCUCUGUCUCUGUCUCUCCCUCUGUCUCUGUCUCUCUGUCUCUCCCUCUCUCCGUCUCUGUCUCUCUCUGUCUCUCCCUCUCUUUCUCUGCCUCUCCCUCUCUCUGUCUCUGUCUCCCUCUCUCUGUCUCUUUCUGUCUCUGUCUCUUUCUGUCUCUGUCUCUCUCUGCCUCUCUGUCUCUGUCUCUCCCUCUGUCUCUGUCUCUCUGUCUCUCCCUCUCUCCGUCUGUCUCUCUCUGUCUCUCCCUCUCUUUCUCUGCCUCUCCCUCUCUCUGUCUCUUUCUGUCUCCCUGUCUCUGUCUCUCUCUGUCUCUGUCUCUCUCUGUCUCUGUCUCUCUCUGUCUCUGUCUCUUGAAUCCCCUUGAUUAUUAUUUUUCUUAAAUUCCUCAUGUUAUCUCGCGUGCACUCAGGGGAAAGGUGGAGCUCUGGCCACAACCUAUAGCCACCUGCUGGGGAAGCCGCAGCAGAUCAGGACUCAGUCAGUGACCCCACUCCACACUCAAGACCAGCCAGAGGAACCCAAAUAUGGAUGCCCACCUCCCCCAUGCCCAUCGCAGGGGCAGCUGAGCCCCGGCAGUGGCCUCCCCACGUGAUCAGUCCCCGCACCCACACCUCUGCCUGCGGCUGGGCAGCCUCCCCGCUCCCAGCACUCCCUCCUGUCUUUCCUGCCACUGCGUGAGCACCACGAGGUCAGGAACUGAUUUUACCUCCCUCACAGGAAGUCAAAGGUCAAAGGUCUUAGAUGCCCCUGGCACCUGAUCCUGGAGCCCUGACCCCAGACAAAUGAGUCAUGUCGACACUUUCCAAGAUGAAUGGCCACAUCCCCAGCCAUCAGGCAAACUUAGUAAGCCCUGUUUCCAAUCAUAUCAAGCCUGUUCAAUAUAACUUUGUUUAGAGAUGGGGCCUUGCUCUGUUGCCCAGGCUGGAGUGCAGUGGCACAAUCGCAGCUCACUGCAGACUCAACCUCCUGGGCUCAGGUGAUCCUCCCAGCUCAGCCUCCCGAGUAGCUGGAAUGAGAGGUGUGAGCCACUGUGCCCGUCUUAAAUAUAAUUUUUAAUGUAACUACAUAAAAGCUAAAUUGAAUCACAACUAGAACUUUUCUAAAUUUCAAGCUUGCAGUAUCUUUCCUGUACUUGGAACCAGGAAAAAUUUUUUUCUGGUCUCAAACCUUUUCGUAGGUCCUUGCAAAGUUCACAGGCUUCGUUUCCAAAUGGAGCACGAUGUGCCUGACAGAUCAAAGGGCCCUGCUCAGCCCAGGAACAGGCAGCUGCCUGUGCUGGGAAAGUCCGGUGUCUAACAGGUCACAGGUCACACCGUUCACAGCAGCGUUUUUCACGACGGCCAGAGGGUGGACGAAUGUGUUACAUGACCCCUGCCCCGAAUGUGAUAUGUACGCACAAUGGGACGUCAGUGGUCCCAGAAAUGGAAGGCACCUCGGACCCAGGGGCCACACAGCCACCCUGAGGACCUGAUGCUGAGGGAACGAGCCCCUCUCAGAAGCUCAAAUACCGUUUGAUCCCACGUGUGAGGUCUCCAGAGUCGUCAAACCUACAGAGACAGACAGUACGAUGGUGGUGCCCAGGGCAGGUGGGGGUUGGUGUUUGAUGGGGCCGGUUGACAUUUGGGAAGAUGUAAAGCUCUGCAGGUGGAUGGCAGUGAUGGCUGCACGGCAACGUGAAUGUGCUUCAUGCCACUGACCUGUGCACUUAAAAAUCAUUAAGACGGCCCGGGCAUGGGGUGGCUCACGCCUGUAAUCCCAGCACUUUGGGAGGCCAAGGUGGGCGAUUACCUGAGGUCGGGAGUUCAAAACCAGCCUGACCAACAUGGUGAAACCCUGUCUCUACUAAAAAUACAAAAUUAGCUGGGUGUGGUGGUGCAUCCCGGUAGUCCCAGCUACUUAGGAGGCUGAGGCAGGAGAAUCGCUUGAACCCUGGAGGCAAAGGUUGCAGUGAGCCGAGAUCACACCACUACAUUCCAGCCUGGGCAACAGAGUGAGACUCCAUCUCAAAAAAAAAUUGUUAAAAUGGUCAACUUUAUGUUAAAGGUAUUUUACCACAAUAAAAGCAAAGGUCACAGGCAGACCUCAUGAGUGCCCUGGAGGUGCUGUUGCCCCUGGGAUGGAAGCUCAUUAUUUUCAAAUGUUCUAUAUAUGGGGGUCUCUAUUCCGGGACAUUUGCUUAAAAAUCUCUUGGAUCAGACCCUUCUUCAGUUUUUCCUGCAAUUAUCAAUAUCUAGUUUGUUUCUAUAGUAGUUCAAUCAGCUAAGUAAAAAGCUCGAUGCUAAAUCUUGUCAAAGACAUUGCAAAUCUCCAUAGAUCGUCUGCGAAACCACAGCUUUCAUGUUUUGAGCGUAAGACCCUGGGGCUGGUGCUGUAACCCCUGCCCAGACUCUUCUGAGUUUCGGCGGCCCAGCAGGGCAGGGCCGGGCACCUGGCAGGUGGGGUCAUCCCCACAGGGCACCCCGGCCGAGGGCAGAGCUGGUUCCGCCGCAGGGUCGAUCCUGGGCUCUGGGCUGUGCACACGUCCUAUUGACACCCCGAGGACAGGACGUGCGAGUGACUCGUGAGAUUGGGCCUCCCUUGCUGAAAACUUCCCUGGUGGCUGACAGCUGCGUGGACAUUCAGCGGCCCUACCUUUUUCCGUCAGGCGCCAGCAGCCCCUCUGUGUAGAGGUGAGACAGGCCAAGCUGCAGCUUCUAGACGAGACGCCCGAAAGCAGAGAAGUACCCAGAGCAGGGACCCGGCAGCCCGGCAGUACGCUGGGCACAGUCGCAGCCCCGCCUCUUCCUUCUCCGUCUUGUUCCCUCCUUCGGUCCCAGGAGAAAGACGCUCAUCUCCCCACAUGAGAGGCUCAGUGUAGGCGUCUGGACAGGGGCCAGUCCCACAAGGCUACUGACUCCGGACCACAAAGAAGCUGGAAGCAGCAGCUCCGCCUCUGCAGCCAAUUGCAGAGCUUUUUUCUCUGUGUUCUGCCCCCACUUCCAACUCAGGACCAACCAGAGGACGCCAAACACGUCCUAUCACCAACCACCGGACACCUGAC
Molecule: long non-coding RNA, 4308 nt
Filed under: Homo sapiens (human)
Lineage: Eukaryota; Metazoa; Chordata; Mammalia; Primates; Hominidae
Description: HSALNT0197828
Source: RNAcentral